RNAcentral lists this ribosomal RNA (441 nucleotides) under uncultured bacterium. RNAcentral's name for it is "partial 16S ribosomal RNA". It matches the Rfam family "Bacterial small subunit ribosomal RNA", at positions 338 to 795 of the family's 1533-position model. The record is from RNAcentral.
CCUACGGGCGGCUGCAGUGGGGAAUAUUGCACAAUGGGGGAAACCCUGAUGCAGCGACGCCGCGUGAGUGAAGAAGUAUUUCGGUAUGUAAAGCUCUAUCAGCAGGGAAGAAGCAAGACGGUACCUGACUAAGAAGCCCCGGCUAACUACGUGCCAGCAGCCGCGGUAAUACGUAGGGGGCAAGCGUUAUCCGGAUUUACUGGGUGUAAAGGGAGCGUAGACGGUAUGGCAAGUCUGAAGUGAAAGCCCAGGGCUUAACCCUGGGACUGCUUUGGAAACUGUUAGACUAGAGUGCUGGAGAGGUAAGUGGAAUUCCUAGUGUAGCGGUGAAAUGCGUAGAUAUUAGGAGGAACACCGGUGGCGAAGGCGGCCUGCUGGACUGUGACUGACGUUGAGGCCCGAAGGCGUGGGGAGCAAACAGGAUUAGAUACCCCAGUAGUC